This 1571-nucleotide long non-coding RNA is filed under the name Diabrotica virgifera virgifera (western corn rootworm). RNAcentral describes it as "uncharacterized LOC126889523". The record is from RNAcentral. Lineage: Eukaryota; Metazoa; Arthropoda; Insecta; Coleoptera; Chrysomelidae.
GCUGAAACGCUGACAGUUUUUUUACUAGUGAACGACUGACGUUUGACAUUCGAUUGAGAGUGUUCUGUGUUCCAUUUGUUUAUGUUUUUAUUCUUUGUUUAUAUAAUUUAUAACCUAAACCUAGACAGUUUUGUUUUUAUUUUAAAUAAAACUGAAACUGUCUAAACUAAAAUGGAUAAUAUUCUUGAAGAACUUUUGUUUGGGGACGAAAUUAGCAAAUGCCGUUAUACAUUUAGCAGAUGUACCUACCUCAAAUUAUUCCAGAAGGAUGAGAUGAAAUUAAAUAUAUAUAAACCAUAAUUCAAUAUCCAAUUUAGAGAACAUUUUCGUAUGUCCAGAACUACUUUCCAGGUAAAAUUGUAUAACAAAUUAAUAACAUCAUGUAUAUUAUAUUGUUAUAUUUCCAGGAACGGUGCCGUGGCAGUUAGUAGGCAUUCGCAUCGGGUAAAAUUUUUUGGAAAAUAUGAAAAUAUACAUUGUUUUAAGCUAUUUUCCCGAAAAAAAUUUGCGGAUUACUCAUUCAUUUAAAUAAAAAUCAACUUUAAAAAUUGGUUUUUUCCAUACAUAACCUUACUAAUUUCAGACAUAUUUUCCCCAAAUAGAAGUGUAUAUUUUAUAUUUGUAGGUACUGACCUUUUAUUUAUAUCUUAUUAAUCCAUAUUAGUGCGGUAUAAUUCAUUAUUUUUAUUAGAAUACUGGAUUAUAUUGAAAAUAUUAUAAUCCAACAAAAUUUUAAAUUCUCUCUGUCAACAUUUUUGCAAUCAAGUAAUCAAAAUCACAACACAAAAUCACAAAAUGUUUAUGACAUUUAGAUCGACAUUCGACAACGACUGUGCUAGGUUGCCAAUUUUUAUCGUAAGGUUUUCUGUUUCAAAUAUUGAUGUAAUUUAAAAUUUUAAGGCCCGGUCUUUUCACCUCCGAAUAAAUAUGCUCUUAUCUGGCAGUUAGCUAUCUGGAGGAUAAAUAUUUAUUCGCCAGAUAAAAUGUACCCGUCUUUUCACGUCAAUUUAUGUUCCAGUUAGUUAUCCGGUAGAUAAGCUUAAAACUUUAACUUAACCUAACAUAAUUAGAUUCAAAGUAUUUCAAAGAUGAUUUUAUCGAUUUUAUUUCCAUUUUGGAAGAAGGAAUGAAGGAAAUAAGGAAAACAUUGAUUAUGCUGAAAUAGUUUACUGGAGAGCUUGAACAAGAGGUAAAUCCAUUUUAAAUUAGAGGAAAACUGUUGAUUUGUAUGUAAAAUAGAAGACAAAGACAAGUUUAAAUAAAGACAAGCUAGCUAAUGAAACAGAUGCAGUGAUAUGACAAACACCUAGAAGAUGGAAUCCUGUGUUCUCAAAGAAAAAGCUAGUUCCAGAAAUAAGCUACCAAUAAUAAACUAGAGAAUGUAUUACAAGAAAGAACAACGCUAAUACCCAACAUAGCUCAAUUGCUUCAGAUAGAAAAAGAGGAGGAAAGGGUAGAACACAAGCGUGCCAGAGAAAAUUAAAGGGCAGAAGAGACACAAAAAUUCAUUGAUUUAUUAAAUUUAAUAAUUAAAUUAUACAAAGGACAAUUAAAUAAAGAAUAAAAAAUUA